Molecule: ribosomal RNA, 227 nt
Filed under: uncultured bacterium
Lineage: Bacteria
Description: partial 16S ribosomal RNA
Rfam family: Bacterial small subunit ribosomal RNA
Source: RNAcentral
UGAGUAACACGUAUCCAACCUGCCGUCUACUCUUGGACAGCCUUCUGAAAGGAAGAUUAAUACAAGAUGGCAUCAUGAGUUCACAUAUUCACAUGAUUAAAGGUAUUCCGGUAGACGAUGGGGAUGCGUUCCAUUAGAUAGUAGGCGGGGUAACGGCCCACCUAGUCUUCGAUGGAUAGGGGUUCUGAGAGGAAGGUCCCCCACAUUGGAACUGAGACACGGUCCAA